This is a long non-coding RNA of Drosophila montana, 629 nucleotides long. RefSeq lists it as uncharacterized. The record is from RefSeq and is a predicted model, not a curated record. Lineage: Eukaryota; Metazoa; Arthropoda; Insecta; Diptera; Drosophilidae. The transcript is spliced from 2 exons.
CUCGGCGUUGAGUAACCAAGCAAAUUACGUCGCAUUUAAGAUUUAAAGGUAAUGUUUUCUUUGGGCAUUGUUCGAAACUACAAAACGAAACACCUGCCAGACAAAAGACAAAGGGAACGCGGUGCGGGCAUGAGCGGGUUGCGCGGGUUUGAGGGGAAGAGCACACAAAAAACACAAAACAGUUGGACCAUGAAAACAGUAACUAAAAGGAACAGCAGACGUCACAGCACUAAGCAAGUUGUCUCCGUCUCGAGUCUCGAGUCUCCCAAUCCCAGUCUCAUUCUCAUUCAUUCGCUGUCGCUAUACCCCCUGUCUUCCAAUGUGUGUGUGUGCGUGUGUGUGUGUCAAGACAAUGGACUGCGACAAGUGCGGAGUCUAUAAAAACUACAUGCAUUGAGCGCGGGGGCGAGCGAACUACUACAAAAACUACAACUUGCAAAUGCGCAGCGCUAACAGUGGGGCUCAGUACCAGACGAGACGGGUCGACGACAACAAUACAAAAGGAAAACUUGUAAAAGGACUGCAUUAAAAACUGAUGGAACAGUAUAUGCCCCAUUUCAAGUAUAAUUCCCUAGACAUUCUAAAAAGACUUCUUCAAAGUUUUAAAUAUAUUUUAUUUUAAGCAUGUU